RNAcentral lists this ribosomal RNA (507 nucleotides) under uncultured bacterium. RNAcentral's name for it is "partial 16S ribosomal RNA". It matches the Rfam family "Bacterial small subunit ribosomal RNA", at positions 33 to 541 of the family's 1533-position model. The record is from RNAcentral.
GACGAACGCUGGCGGCGUGCUUAACACAUGCAAGUCGAACGGAAAGGCCCUGCUUUUGUGGGGUGCUCGAGUGGCGAACGGGUGAGUAACACGUGAGUAACCUGCCCUUGACUUUGGGAUAACUUCAGGAAACUGGGGCUAAUACCGGAUAGGAGCUCCUGCUGCAUGGUGGGGGUUGGAAAGUUUCGGCGGUUGGGGAUGGACUCGCGGCUUAUCAGCUUGUUGGUGGGGUAGUGGCUUACCAAGGCUUUGACGGGUAGCCGGCCUGAGAGGGUGACCGGCACGAGGGGGACGGGGGACAGGCCGAGAGGCUGACAGGAGGAGGCAGGGGGGAAGGGGGCACACGGCGGGGAUACUUGCGGCAGCAGCGCGGGGGGGGGGAUGACGGCCUGGGGGUUGUGAACGGGUUGCGCGUGUGAGGAAGGGGGCGAGGCGGUAAGGAGUAGAGAAGCACCGGCUACCAACGUGCCAGCAGACGCGGAAUAAGUCGAAGAGCACACGUCUGAA